GUGCUUGGGCAGCACAUACACUAAAAUUGGAAGGACACAGAGAAGAUGAGUGUGGCCCUGCACGAGGAUGACACGCAAAUUCGUGACAUGCUCCAUAUUUUU
This 102-nucleotide small nuclear RNA is filed under the name Dasypus novemcinctus (nine-banded armadillo). Lineage: Eukaryota; Metazoa; Chordata; Mammalia; Cingulata; Dasypodidae. The record is from RNAcentral.